AUGGGUGACGACUUGUGGACUACCGUGAAGGAAGCCAUGUGGAAUUGCCACAGAAGCCAAGGCAUAGAGAGUACUAUUCAGGAAAUUAUAGCAUUACUGUAUCUGGGAUGCAUGACAAGAAUAAGUUCAGGAAGGCUCCAAGGGGAAAGCGGUUCCAGAAGAAGUGAUGGUAGGCCUAGAGAGCUCUCUGAGCUAGUCCAGCCAUCCAGUUGGCCUGAGGUAAGAAACUGGGGAGGUUGGAGAGAGGUAGAACUAAUAGCACAGCACAAUAAAACUCACAAGGAAGUGCUGGUUCAGAGUCCCCUAUCAGAGAAAGAAAAAUUGAGGCAAAAUGCAGUUUCUCUUCACUCCCCUGAUAAUAAAACAAAUUUACAGGAUCUCAUCAAAACUAUGGAAGAAAGACAAGUUCUGAAAACUUCCUGGUGUGCAAGGCAUAACAAAGAAAAUGUAUUGUACAGCACUUAUGUAUGUAAAUGUCCAUAAUGUCUUUGAUAUGACUUUUAUCUAGUGGGCCUGUUACUGAGUCCAAGGUUACACUGCUGCCCCACAACAGGCCAAUAAAUCCAGAGACAAGAUGCUGGGGCAGGGAAUAGCAACUUUAUUCUGAAAACCAGCAGGUCAGGAAAACAGUGGACUAGUGUCCCAAAGAAUCAUCUUACCUAAGUUAGAAUUUAUACUAAAAGGGGAGGCGGUGUGGCUGGUUGUUGGGAAAUUUCGGUGCUGGAAUCCUUUGUUCUUGCAGCCACAUAGGUUCAGUCACAAUAUUCCCAUAAACCUCUAACAAGGCAAAUGUUAUUCUCUGUUCUGCAACUUUUUAUCUCUAUGUGAUAAGCAUCUCUAUAUUCAGAGCAUUAAGAAUGGGCUAUCAUGUAUAUUUCAGGCUAUAGGCAACAUUCUUUUACAAAAGGUAUAGAGACAGCAUGACUAAGCACAGGCAACAGAGCACCAGGGUUAGAGCUCAAGGAAUAGAUCCAAUAUGGAGUCAGAUCUGUUCUUCUCUGUUACAAGCUGUUUUAUAUUAGUGAACAUUUUUUAAAUGUGCUUUUUUUGGGCUUCCUCCUGCCCUAUUUUGGUUCCUGUCUCCAUGUUUCUCAUGAAGUGUUUCAGUUCCUCAGCCACACGUUCUCUUGGCAUAGUUUUCGGGAACAUAAAUUUCAAGAUUGGCAAAGGGAUACUGUACCUUACCCAUUCCAUCUGAACAUUAUUACGAUGCCACAAAAUCACCUAUUUUCAUAAUAAAAUAUACCAUGCUUCUUUUUAUUAAUAAUUGAAAAUGAACAGAAAUAUUGUUAUUUGUUUGAGAAGGGCUCCAUUGUUUUUCUUUAGAAUGUUAAUUUCCUGCUUUGCAUUUCCUUCCUCAUAGAUAAAUGCAGAGAACAUGUCUCUUCUUGGGAAAAGUGGGCAUUCUUGAAGAAGUAAAAGAUUGACCUCAUUGUAUACAUUUAAUAAAUACUAUUUUUUUCCAAAGUAUGGUUAAUGACAGGUUGGAUAAUCUCUUGAUUUGGGAACUGAGUUCUACUACAUUUAAUACAAUCCCAAAUGACUAAGACGUGAACCAGAGAACACUGAGUCUGGAGGUUCGCAGUUUCUGGUAUCAUUUCUGUGGCUCAAAAGUGUGAGGGUCAAAGUUUCUCCGUUGUUUCUUACCAUCAUGAUUAUAACAUGGAUAACUGUGGAUCUAACCAUCACAUUCAAAUUCCAGGAAGGAAGCGGGAAAGAGAAAAGGCAAAGUCCAAGAGGCCAAGCCAGCCAAAUCUUUCCCUUUAAAGGGACUUUCCUAAAAAUCCUGCUUCUCUCUGGCCAGGAUGGUAUCACACAACCUCCUAGCUGCAAGGAAAUUGGGAAAUAUAUUUGUUUGUUUUUUUCAGCUGGGUAUAUUGCCACUUCCAGCAAAAGUAGGAAGGAAGAAAGGGAAAAUAGUUACUGAUCAAAAAAUUGGCACUCUGUACCCCUCCUUUUUAUUUAAUUUUUUGGCCUUUCCACAGCAUAUGGAAGUUCCCAGGCCACGGACUGAAUCUGAGCCACAGCUGUGAUGCUUCAGCUGUGGCAACACCGAAUCCUUAACCCACUGUGUCAGGCCAGGAAUCAAACCUGCAUGCCAGCACUCCAGGGACACUGCCGAUCCUGUUGCACCACAGAGAGAGCUCCACCACAACCUUUUCUUGGAAAAAUAUCAUCUUAUUUCAAGAUCAUGUCUGCAAGCUGAUGGUUGCUUUUUAAUUAUAAGAAUAAUAAAUGGGGCCUUCACAAAAUGGCCCCACCGCUGCUUUCAGUCCCUAGUGGACUGAGUUGUAAUUGCUGGUUGAAUUAUUCUGCUAUUACUAAAGCAAGUCGCAUUGCCUUCUCUUGGGGGAAUAGCUUUAGAAUAGCUUCUAAAAGAAAAAUAAAAGAAUUUAAAACACUACCUAU
This 2409-nucleotide long non-coding RNA is filed under the name Sus scrofa (pig). Its description in RNAcentral is "lncRNA (ENSSSCG00035073498.1)". The record is from RNAcentral. Lineage: Eukaryota; Metazoa; Chordata; Mammalia; Artiodactyla; Suidae.